Molecule: transfer RNA, 72 nt
Filed under: Camelus bactrianus (Bactrian camel)
Lineage: Eukaryota; Metazoa; Chordata; Mammalia; Artiodactyla; Camelidae
Also listed under: 2 other names
Rfam family: tRNA
About the family: Transfer RNA (tRNA) molecules are approximately 80 nucleotides in length. Their secondary structure includes four short double-helical elements and three loops (D, anti-codon, and T loops). Further hydrogen bonds mediate the characteristic L-shaped molecular structure. tRNAs have two regions of fundamental functional importance: the anti-codon, which is responsible for specific mRNA codon recognition, and the 3' end, to which the tRNAs corresponding amino acid is attached (by aminoacyl-tRNA synthetases). tRNAs cope with the degeneracy of the genetic code in two manners: having more than one tRNA (with a specific anti-codon) for a particular amino acid; and 'wobble' base-pairing, i.e. permitting non-standard base-pairing at the 3rd anti-codon position.
Source: Rfam by way of RNAcentral
GAGGGUAGAGCUCAGUGGUAAAGCAUGUGCUUAGCAUGCACAAGGUCCUGGGCUCAAUCCCCAGUAUUUCCA